GACGAACGCUGGCGGCGUGCUUAACACACGCAAGUCGAACGGAAAGGCCCUGCUUUUGUGGGGUGCUCGAGUGGCGAACGGGUGAGUAACACGUGAGUAACCUGCCCUUGACUUUGGGAUAACUUCAGGAAACUGGGGCUAAUACCGGAUAGGAGCUCCUGCUGCAUGGUGGGGGUUGGAAAGUUUCGGCGGUUGGGGAUGGACUCGCGGCUUAUCAGCUUGUUGGUGGGGUAGUGGCUUACCAAGGCUGUGAGGGGUAGCCGGCCUGAGAGGGUGGCCGGGCACCAGGGGCCUACGAGACGGCCCAGACGGCAACGGGAGGCAGCAGGGGGGAGUAUGGCAGAAUGGCCGGAAGUCUGUUGCAGCAGUGUCGCGGGCGUGAAGACGGGUUUCGGGUGGUAAACAGCUGUCGCCUGUGCUGAAGCGGGAUUGACGGUAACUGGUAAAGAAGCCACGGCUAACUACGUG
This 468-nucleotide ribosomal RNA is filed under the name uncultured bacterium. RNAcentral's name for it is "partial 16S ribosomal RNA". It matches the Rfam family "Bacterial small subunit ribosomal RNA", at positions 28 to 507 of the family's 1533-position model. The record is from RNAcentral.